AACGAACGCUGGCGGCGUGGAUAAGACAUGCAAGUCGAGCGCGAAUUAUUCCGUAGCAAUACGGGAUGGUUUGAGCGGCGCAAGGGUGCGUAACACGUGGGUAAUUUGCCGUGAAGUUGGGGAUAACUCGCUGAAAGGCGAGCUAAUACCGGAUGUGGUUAUUGGAUGGCAUCACCUGAUAACUGAAGCUGGGGAUCGUAAGACCUGGCGCUUCAUGAUAAGCCCGCGGCCUAUCAGCUAGUUGGUGAGGUAACGGCUCACCAAGGCGAAGACGGGUAGCUGGUCUGAGAGGACGACCAGCCACACUGGAACUGAGACACGGCCCAGACACCUACGGGUGGCAGCAGUCGAGAAUUUUUCUCAAUGGGCGCAAGCCUGAAGGAGCGACGCCGCGUGGGGGAUGAAGGGUUUCGAUCCGUAAACCCCUGUCAUUCGUGAACAAUGCUCAUUAUUUAAAAGAUGAUGAGUUGAUAGUAACGGGAGAGGAAGGGAC
RNAcentral lists this ribosomal RNA (493 nucleotides) under uncultured bacterium. RNAcentral's name for it is "bacterial SSU rRNA". It matches the Rfam family "Bacterial small subunit ribosomal RNA", at positions 29 to 494 of the family's 1533-position model. The record is from RNAcentral.